This 326-nucleotide RNase P RNA is filed under the name bovine gut metagenome. Its description in RNAcentral is "Bacterial RNase P class A". It matches the Rfam family "Bacterial RNase P class A", at positions 33 to 353 of the family's 367-position model. Rfam says of the family: Ribonuclease P (RNase P) is a ubiquitous endoribonuclease, found in archaea, bacteria and eukarya as well as chloroplasts and mitochondria. Its best characterised activity is the generation of mature 5'-ends of tRNAs by cleaving the 5'-leader elements of precursor-tRNAs. Cellular RNase Ps are ribonucleoproteins. The record is from RNAcentral.
CCGCGCGCCGGAGGAAAGUCCGGACACCACAGGGCAGGACGUCCGCGCCGGGAGGUGCGGAACCCCGUCGGCAAACGCCGGGGAAGGAAAGCGCCACAGAAACCAAACCGCCGGAGCGCAAGCCCCGGCAAGGGUGAAACGGCGGUGCAAGAGACCACCGUGCGGCCGCCGAGAGGCGCCGCGCAAGGCAAGCCCCGUCCGGUGCAAGGCCAAAUAGGGAGCCGCAGGAGCGGCCCGUUCCGCGGCGCCCCCGCGCCACGGCUCCGGGUUGGCCGCAGAGUCAAAUGACUGGACCCGCAAGGGCGACAGAAUCCGGCUUAUUCGCC